RNAcentral lists this long non-coding RNA (992 nucleotides) under Homo sapiens (human). Its description in RNAcentral is "HSALNT0364021". Lineage: Eukaryota; Metazoa; Chordata; Mammalia; Primates; Hominidae. The record is from RNAcentral.
CUUGGAAGUUGGGCUGGCUGUACUGAAAUGGUCAUAGGGUAUAAAUGGGGUGCCCACUGCCACAGCUGCAGCAACCUUGGAAGAUGUUAUAAAGAUACCAUUUUGCAGAUGAUGAAACUGAGGUUCAGAGAGGCCCAAUAGUCGACACAAAACCAAGGUGGGAAUGUGAAUCUGUUUUUCAUUCCGUGACCCUGUGGUGCCCUUCUCUACAGCUGUUCAUCCACAGACCUUCAAAGGAUGUGCCACCAGUCUCAGCUAUGCAGUAAACAGUCCCGGCAAAGGAUCUUUGUGCAGAUUUGUGAUUAAAGGCAAACAAGAUAAUGAGUCCCAGGACCAGGGGAGAGCAGUCCGCACUCUCAUGCAUUCCUCAAUUCACAUGGCCCUGGAAACCUUUCAGUGUGGCAGUGGCUGUGGCAAUCACUCUGCCAACUGCAGAAUAAAGGGUCCUGUCUGGAAAUGCAAUUAUUUCCAAAUAAAAGGUUUUUAAAAGACACACACGAUAGCAUUUUUGGUUUUCAGAAACUGAUAUACCAAAUAAGGACAAAAAUUAACUUUGUAAAAAAUGAAGAUGAUGAAGACAAUGAAGAGAUGGUGAUGAUGAUGAUGGAUGAAGAUUGUGGUGAUAAGCAUGAUGAAUAUAUUGAGAAGGUGAAGAUGAUGAAGAUGAAGAUGGUGAUGAUGAUGGUAGCAGCAACCACCAUUUUCUGAGCACAUAAAUGUGCCACUCACUAUGUUGGCUACUCUAUAGACAUUAUCUCUAAUUAUUACAAUAACCCUGUAAGACAAAGUUUAGCACCUCCAUUUAACACAUGAGAAACUGAAGCUCAGAGAAGUGAAGUAACCUGCCUGAGGUCACAACCUUAGGCAUGAAAAAGGAUUGACAGAGAUUACUGCUUGAAUUAUUACUCCAAAUCCUGUGCCUCUAACCACUAACAUAACCACUUCAUUUGUUUACUCCUUCAUUUAUUUAAAAAAUUUAUUCAUCUAUUGAA